GUGUUACUGAUACCUAAGCUGCUGAGCUACAGAAAAUUCUAUUUAGAUCUGAUUCUUCUAUUUUGUACUUAGGGCUUGUCACGUGGUAGGGGACUGUUGCUUCUUGCUGAAAUGAGUUCUUCGGGUAACCUAGCCACGGGAACUGAGCUACAGAAAAUUCUAUUUUGAUCUGAUUCUUCUAUUUUGUACUUAGGGCUUGUCACGUGGUAGGGGACUGUUGCUUCUUGCUGAAAUGAGUUCUUCGGGUAACCUAGCCACGGGAGCUUACACGGCAGCAGCAGUAAAAAUUGCUGAGGAUCACUCAGAUUUUGUCAUUGGAU
This 320-nucleotide long non-coding RNA is filed under the name Nicotiana benthamiana. RNAcentral's name for it is "long non-coding RNA (NBEN_LNC034157)". Lineage: Eukaryota; Viridiplantae; Streptophyta; Magnoliopsida; Solanales; Solanaceae. The record is from RNAcentral.